AAGAUGCGCGCCCGGUGUCUUGCAGUAGCGCCAGUCGCCGAGCCCGGCCGCGCGUGCAGGUCCUGUUCCACGUGACGAGGCCGGAAGUGAGCCGAGCCCGCGGCCGCCGAGAGGCUGCAGUGCCUGAGGCUCUGAGCCUUCCGGGGACGCCCGCGAGCUGCGGAGGCAGCUGCCGGCCGGCGGACGCGCUGGGGCUGUGCGUGGCGCAGCUGGAGCUGCCGCCCGCCUAGUUCGGGCCCGCGCCCGGCGGCGCCGUGGAGCUCUACUACGCCGCGCAGCCGGCCGACGAGCGCGGCGCCUGCGCCGGCGGCGACCCCGCGAAGGCCAACGCCAUCCGCCCGGGCAAGGACGGCGCCGCAGCGAGGCCGCCGCACCUGCGGAGGAUCGGCGCCGUGGGCCUGCACCGCGCGCGGGAGGGCGCCGCGCUCAGCGAGCUGCACCUGGACGCCGACGUGGUCGUCCGCCUUCCCUCCGGGCCGGCCAAGCCCGGAGCCGUGGUCGCCGCCCACGUCGCCAUCGCCAGCGACUCCACUGUGGACUUCUUCGUGCUCAGAGCCAAGGUGAAGAAGGGGGUGCGGAUCCUGAGCGCCCAGCCCAGCGAGCCCCGGCACUGGGCCGUGAAGCAGGAGGUGGGCAACGGCGGGAAGCAUGCCACCGCCACCGUGUCCUGCCAGCGCCUGGCACAGGCAGCGCGCAACAGGUAAGCCGCCUCCCUCCCCGUCCGGCGGGCCAGCCCGCAUCCACGGCUGCUCCCUGGAGCUGUGAACCCCCAUCCCAGAGGCCUGGAGGCGCCGGCACUGGGCUCCGGAGUGGGGUCCUCUGUGUGUCCCGCCCCGGGCGCCCCCUCGGGGCUCUACCCUCCUUAGCUGAGCUGAGGCUACCUGCCCACACGGGGCUGUUUUCUGCGUGUGUUGGAGUGAGCCCUCGGCCGGUCACACCCAGGAAGCUGCCAGGUGAGUUCUCAGACACCUGUGCUGUGAUCUAAAACAGCUGUUUUCCCAUCGGAAAAGCAGCGCAGACUUGAUUUAAGCUAUUUGGAAAAACAGUUGCUUGAGAGACAGGACCUGAAAUCCUGUACCGAUGCCCUGGUGCCCGGGAAGGGCCCUCGGUAGCCUGCCGGGGCUCGGUGCGUCGGCUCCCGUGGUAGAGCUACUCGCGUCACGGUAUGCACGCAGAUUGGAGGCGCUCUGCUGUCUGCUCGUGUUGGAAACACUUUCUCCGACGUUAAGCGUUCCUGAGAAACGUUUCUAACGCGUCACAGCCUCCUGCCGCGCGGAGUUAGCCUGGUGCAAACAGCCGGCCGCCUCCGCCUUCGGAGCACUGGGCUCUUCCCCAACGCAUUCUUAGCCGGCAGGGCCCCUUCCGCAUCCACCUCUGUCUGCUUCUCCUUUUCCUUGAGGUGACCUUGGAGUCAAGAUGCGUCACCCCUUUCAGGGCCUGGGACACAGUCUCGGUGUUUCCCCGUGGGGGUCGGCGGGCAGGGAACGACCCUUCCGCUGUUGGACGCGUUUUCCUACGUGCGUGUUGCAAGUCGGCCGCAGAGAAAAACCGAUUCUUCCUCCGCAUUUUAAUUCCGUUUGGACAUCAGAACCUCGGCCCCUCGGGCCUUCCUUCCUGUGAAACCAGAGAAGCGCCUGCCCUGAGCUGCUGGCCGGCUCGGUACCCCAGGCACGUCCGGGUGGGGUCGGGGUCAGGGCUCGGGGCGGCGUCUUUGAAUGUGUGAAAGAAAGGCCAGGAAGAAGCGUGCGCGGGGUCCCUGGUGCACGUGGGAGGCCAGGGGCCACGUUCAGUGUCCUCAAUCGAAUGCACAUCAUGUCUGAUGGACCCACAGGAUGAGCGUUGGUUAUGCAGAUGGGGUGAACGGCUGACGCACAGUGGGUUAGUUUGUGUGAAUGGCCCUCGGUCAGACGCACGGCGAGACUCCUGUGGGGCGGGUCUCUGAGCCUCUCUGCCAGAAGCCUGUUUCCAAGGCUCCGGGAACCACC
This 1985-nucleotide long non-coding RNA is filed under the name Oryctolagus cuniculus (rabbit). RNAcentral's name for it is "lncRNA (ENSOCUG00000030010.1)". The record is from RNAcentral. Lineage: Eukaryota; Metazoa; Chordata; Mammalia; Lagomorpha; Leporidae.